Molecule: long non-coding RNA, 1247 nt
Organism: Arachis ipaensis
Lineage: Eukaryota; Viridiplantae; Streptophyta; Magnoliopsida; Fabales; Fabaceae
Source: RefSeq, a predicted model, not a curated record
UUAAAUUAAAAUUAAAUAUAGAUAAUUUAUACAAAUUGUGAUUUCUGUUCAUUCUUGAAUUCUAACCAUCAAGUUUAUUUUUAACAUUGUGUUGUUAGAAUGCUCUUGGAUUUGAUCUAAGUCCAACCACAAGCUGGAUCUAAGUCUGAACUCUCCAUUUGCCCCGAAGUCGAGGAAAGAAGAGGAGCAAAGACACAACUGCUUUCAAGUUGUUGCUUUUGCUACAUGUGAGAACGCACAGCCUUUAGAUGCACAACCUGCACCCUCUUUGGCAGUGAACAUGUAGGUACUUGAAUCAGUUGUGCCUUGUAUCUUUUCUAAUUGUCCUGCGAAUUACUUGAACCUUUGAUCUGGAAAUCUAACUGAUACUUCAAGCUAAAUUUUUAUUACAGUAUUAUUAUUGAAUUUUUGGACCUCUUUUUUCAAGAAAAAAAAAAAAGAGGAGUACUAAGGGGCCAGCAACUUUUGUGUUUUGUAACCAUCAAUUGGCUAUCGAUAAUGUUUUUAAUGGUGUGAGAUUAAAUCCAAUGGUGUGAAAUCAUUCAAUUUCCUUUUUAUGGUUAAAUGCUGGCCAACUUUUUAAAAAAUUGAUGGCUCCCGAGAUUUUCCCAAAAAGAAAAAUAUGAGCAAUUGUUCUCUUGAAAACUAAACUGAAUUGGGAGCUCAACACAAUAUGAAGAUAAUGUUUCUCAACCCAAGGUGGAAAGGAAGGAUGACGCGGCAAGGUUGCUUAUAGUUGAAUACUUACUAUAAGUAAAUGGAAGAACCUUUACUAUGAAAGCAAGAUUGCAGAGCAGAAAAGCAACAAGUGGUUAAUGCCUGAGAACAUUGAAGAGGUUUGCAAUUCUUGAGAAUGCUAAAAUGGAUGUUUCCUGUCUUACAUUCCCUCAACUGAUCAAAUGGCAAAAACAUUCCCUCAACUGAUCAAAUGGCAUAUUUGCUUGCAAAACCUGUGUCAAAUUGUCUUUGUAAAGUUUUAAUCCAAAAGCAGUUUUCCCAAAAGGAUUACUGAGUGUAAGGGGGGAAGGUUAGAAAGAAGAGUUUGUUUCUAACCCCCCAUUUUGUAUAUAUAUUAAGGUAGGGUGUUAGUUUCCGUUUUAAGCUUCCUGUUUGAGUCCGUUUUGUAUCUCUUUCUCAAUAGGCUAGUUUAUAUUUAAAAUCAUUUGUGCAGUUCUCUUGUAGUUCUCUUAUAAUUAUUUGAUUUGCAUCCAUCCAAUCCACUCUCCUUAGUGAGGCUUUAGUGGUUU